RNAcentral lists this long non-coding RNA (286 nucleotides) under Struthio camelus australis. Its description in RNAcentral is "lncRNA (ENSSCUG00000007690.1)". The record is from RNAcentral. Lineage: Eukaryota; Metazoa; Chordata; Aves; Struthioniformes; Struthionidae.
UGGAGUGUGUAUUAAUCUGCAGCCCUUCUCUUAAGCUGUAUGUGAUUAAUAUCAGCAAACAGAUAAAUUCUCUCAUUUUUCUCAUGACAAAUGAAGUGUGCAGCCAGUCUCAUUACAAGUGUUUCUCCAUUGCCAUGAUGCCCACUGACCACCACGAGAAAGAAGUUACCAACCUAGGAAAUUUCUGUGGGAGCAAAUCCACCAAAUUGCCACACCGUAGGCUGAAAACUCAAAUACGUGCCCUGAUGUGACAGAGUGCUCGGCGUUAUGAUCGGAGCAAAGCAGC